ACAUUCGUGGUCGAGUGGUUAAGGCAAUGGACUAAAAAUUCAUUGGGGUCUCCCCGCACAGGUUCAAAUCCUGUCGACUGCG
Molecule: non-coding RNA, 82 nt
Organism: Ixodes scapularis (black-legged tick)
Lineage: Eukaryota; Metazoa; Arthropoda; Arachnida; Ixodida; Ixodidae
Source: the annotation of a RefSeq genome assembly